This 2375-nucleotide long non-coding RNA is filed under the name Glycine max (soybean). RNAcentral's name for it is "long non-coding RNA (GMAX_LNC001152)". Lineage: Eukaryota; Viridiplantae; Streptophyta; Magnoliopsida; Fabales; Fabaceae. The record is from RNAcentral.
AAAAUAUGGAAGGAUGUUCUGACUUCUAACCCAUCAAUUCCCAAAGUCCUCAAUCUGCGAGACCUCUAGUCUAGGGAUCAUCAGAGGUGGUCUGUAGCUGCUGGUUCUCUACAGCAAAAUGAAAAGCAAGGGGAGUGUUGAAAUUUUACAGAAAAGAGCAUUUGAGACAGAGAUUUGGGGGCAUGCAACAUUUCAACCUCUACCCUUUGUUUGUAUAUAUCAAAUAAUAAGUUUCUUUUGCAGCCUGCUGUUUACCAGACUCCAGGCUCAGGUAGAGCAAGAAGGGAUGCAGCAGCACGUGCAAUGCAAGGUUGGCAUGCUCAGCGCCUUCUUGGAUACGGUGAGGUUGCUGAGCCAGUUAUUAAGGUCUGUUGAGACCUUUACAAUUUACAUUCUUAUUCUUAGUAUCAUUUUAUUGUUGAUCACUGUAACUCUGUCUUAUAGCAAUGUUUCUACUAAUAGAGUGUUUGUUUUUUCUUGCACAGGACAAGAACUUCAGUUCCACGCCAAAGCGUGAAAAGAACCUAAAAAGUAUUGGUAUGGUCACUACAAACAUCACCAACUUUCUCUAAAUUAAUAGCUAUCUCAUUUAUUUAUGCUUCAAUGAAUCAGGUAUGAAUAAUAAACAGAGGACACUGUCUGGUCUGGAGCAUGCUGAAAAAUCUGCAAAUAUUGAAGGAGAUCGGCAGUUAAGUUACUGGUCUUCUGUUAAUUGACCUAUAAUAGUCCUGUGCAUAGAUUCAUGAUCUUUGAGCACUGUUGGCUUUUCCAUCUACAAUCUUUUAAUUCAUGGCAUUAGCCACCCACCACUCGAAGUUCUCUUCAUUAUAACAAUUACUGUUGAGUAAAUUAAUUUUGCUGUUACACAAUUAAUAAAUGUUAUUUCUUUUAUUAGAUUCAUAGGUUUUCAGCAAAAUAAAAUUAAGGAAUUAAUCAGAACAAGUUGGUGCACCUUAUUAAUGAUACUGCCCUAUACAUAUCUUAUUCAAGUCCUUGAAGAUAUGCUUGCUUCCUCCCUAAAGGUUUCUAUAUCUACAUCUUUCCUACCCCAAAGUUUUGUGAGCCAAAACACAGACAAACUAAUAAAGUGAAUGUGCCCUGGGAAAUCCUUUGGCAUUUUCUUAAUGUCAGUGAGGAUUCCCUUCAUUAUUACUGAUUCUUCAAUCAAUUCAACCACAUACAAUCCCUAUUUCAAUCUGAAAAGGAUACAUGUGCACUGUGAGAUAUGAUAAAGUUUCAGUGUAUCAAAUGAACCAAGGCUAAUUGAGUUUUUCAUCUGAUAGAUUGGUCACAGCAGUAGUGGAUGUUGGACCCCCAGCUGACUGGGUGAAGAUCAAUGUGCGUGAAAGUGUAAGUCAGUUUGGUUGUAUUCUGUACCUAAUUUAUGUCCUUCUUGUGUAUCAUAAUGGCAGAUUUUUUCUCCUGUAAAUAGAAUUUAAUAAUUAAUUUUUUACUGUUUGCUGUAUCAUUGUCCAGAAGGAUUGUUUUGAGGUAUAUGCCCUAGUUCCUGGGCUCCUUCGUGAGGAGGUGAGCACCAUGGCUUGUCUUUAUCCAUUGUUUAUUUUUAUGCAGAAAAAGUGGCUUGAUAUUUGGGUAUUUUUUUGCAGAAACACUGGGUAGAUUUUAUCAUAGAUUUUUCUUCUUAAGCGUAACUGUAUAAAAUAGAAUGUACAAUCAUUUUUUACAAUCUCCACUGAUCUAUAUUGGCUGUUUUUCGAUGCCUUUUUGUUAGGAGGGAAAUUCUUCUGCCUAUAUAGUUUUAUAUAUGUAUGGGAUAAUUUGCCUUCAUUUGUCAUGUUAAAAUUAAAAACUAAUAUUAUGAUUGGAAAAGGUUCUUCUAAGUGAGCAAUGGUGUAUUCACGCUUAAUUUUAUUAAGUGCACAUUAAAUGAUUUAAAUGCUGAAGAGUGAAUACAAACCUUAUUUCAUUUUAGAUUGAAAAGAGUAUUUUCCUUUGUGAUUGAUUAUGGCUUCCUUGGUUUCUACUUUUAUUGUUGACUUUGUUAUAACAAAUCCAGGUGCGAGUCCAAUCAGAUCCAGUUGGACGUCUUGUUAUAACUGGUGUGCCAGAACAUAUAGACAAUCCAUGGGGAAUUACCCCCUUCAAAAAGGUAAACUACCCUUUUCUUAACAGAGAUCUUGGUAUGACGCUGAGAGUAAUAACAGAAUGUCAUGUAAGGACGUGGCAUCUUCGUUGAAAGUGAUUGACUGAAAUUUGAUGUUUUUCAGGUUGUGAACUUACCUGCAAGAAUUGAUUCGCUUCAGACAUCUGCUGUUGUUAGUUUGCAUGGUCGACUAUUUGUACGCGUUCCUUUUGAGCAAGGAGCUGUGUGAGAUGUGAAUGUUCCUCCCUUGAAUCAUUGAUUUAUGAAAUCU